GCUGGCGUAGCUCAACUGGUAGAGCAGCUGAUUUGUAAUCAGCAGGUUAGGGGUUCAAGUCCCUUCGCCAGCUCCA
Molecule: transfer RNA, 76 nt
Filed under: Candidatus Aegiribacteria sp.
Lineage: Bacteria; Pseudomonadati
Also listed under: 1 other name
Description: tRNA-Thr
Rfam family: tRNA
About the family: Transfer RNA (tRNA) molecules are approximately 80 nucleotides in length. Their secondary structure includes four short double-helical elements and three loops (D, anti-codon, and T loops).
Source: RNAcentral